UGGGGUAAUGGCUCACCAAGGCGACGAUCCCUAGCUGGUCUGAGAGGAUGAUCAGCCACACUGUGAACUGAGACACGGUCCAGACUCCUACGGGAGGCAGCAGUGGGGAAUAUUGCACAAUGGGGGAAACCCUGAUGCAGCCAUGCCGCGUGUGUGAAGAAGGCCUUCGGGUUGUAAAGCACUUUCAGCGAGGAGGAAAGGUUGGCGCCUAAUACGUGUCAACUGUGACGUUACUCGCAGAANAAGCACCGGCUAACUCCGUGCCAGCAGCCGCGGUAAUACGGAGGGUGCAAGCGUUAAUCGGAAUUACUGGGCGUAAAGCGCACGCAGGCGGUUGGAAAANUUAGAUGUGAAAGCCCCGGGCUCAACCUGGGAAUUGCAUUUAAAACUGUCCAGCUAGAGUCUUGUAGAGGGGGGUAGAAUUCCAGGUGUAGCGGUGAAAUGCGUANAGAUCUGGAGGAAUACCGGUGGCGAAGGCGGCCCCCUGGACAAAGACUGACGCUCAGGUGCGAAAGCGUGGGGAGCAAACAGGAUUANAUACCCUGGUANUCCACGCCGUAAACGAUGUCNAUUUNGA
This 577-nucleotide ribosomal RNA is filed under the name Aeromonas salmonicida. Its description in RNAcentral is "bacterial SSU rRNA". It matches the Rfam family "Bacterial small subunit ribosomal RNA", at positions 253 to 821 of the family's 1533-position model. The record is from RNAcentral. Lineage: Bacteria; Pseudomonadati; Pseudomonadota; Gammaproteobacteria; Aeromonadales; Aeromonadaceae.